Molecule: small RNA, 117 nt
Filed under: uncultured Sporomusa sp.
Lineage: Bacteria; Bacillati; Bacillota; Negativicutes; Selenomonadales; Sporomusaceae
Description: PyrR
Rfam family: PyrR binding site
About the family: This family represents the PyrR binding site and terminator structure. This RNA structure is found upstream of a variety of genes involved in pyrimidine biosynthesis and transport. The alignment also includes a portion of the antiterminator structure.
Source: RNAcentral
GGCACCUUUAAAGGCAGUCCAGAGAGGCUGAUAAGGUGAGCGGGUUUGCGAUUAGCUACGCAAUGUAUUAGCUAUCGUGGAAGGCUCUCUGUCAGCAAUGGCAGAGAGCCUUUCCGU